RNAcentral lists this ribosomal RNA (496 nucleotides) under uncultured bacterium. Its description in RNAcentral is "partial 16S ribosomal RNA". It matches the Rfam family "Bacterial small subunit ribosomal RNA", at positions 28 to 507 of the family's 1533-position model. The record is from RNAcentral.
GAUGAACGCUGGCGGCGUGCCUAAUACAUGCAAGUCGAGCGAACAGACGAGGAGCUUGCUCCUCUGACGUUAGCGGCGGACGGGUGAGUAACACGUGGAUAACCUACCUAUAAGACUGGGAUAACUUCGGGAAACCGGAGCUAAUACCGGAUAACAUGUUGAACCGCAUGGUUCAACAGUGAAAGACGGUCUUGCUGUCACUUAUAGAUGGAUCCGCGCCGCAUUAGCUAGUUGGUAAGGUAACGGCUUACCAAGGCAACGAUGCGUAGCCGACCUGAGAGGGGAUCGGCCACACUGGAACUGAGACACGGUCCAGACUCCUACGGGAGGCAGCAGUAGGGAAUCUUCCGCAAUGGGCGAAAGCCUGACGGAGCAACGCCGCGUGAGUGAAGAAGGUCUCCGGAUCGUAAAACUCUGUUAUUAGGGAAGAACAAAUGUGUAAGUAACUAUGCACGUCUUGACGGUACCUAAUCAGAAAGCCACGGCUAACUACGUG